UUUCCGUAGGUGAACCUGCGGAAGGAUCAUUAUUGUAUAACCGAGGUACGAGGGCUUUCGCUUAUCCAAAACUUCGUUCACGGCCGAGUGCGCUCACACACAUCCAUCUCACCCCUAUUUACACCACCGCGUGGGUCCCCCUUUCGCUUGUCUGAAGCGAGGUUUACGUUUUUACACAAACUUUAUAUGAAGUGCAAAAUGGAUUUUUUGUUUUUUCGAACACGCAAUCAAUACAACUGUCAAGAACAGAUCACUUGGCUCUCGUAGUGAUGAAGAACG
RNAcentral lists this unclassified non-coding RNA (279 nucleotides) under plant metagenome. Its description in RNAcentral is "partial contains small subunit ribosomal RNA, internal transcribed spacer 1, and 5.8S ribosomal RNA". The record is from RNAcentral.